GUAGUUUCACUUUUCCUUUUCCUUCCAGUGCCCUAACCUGCCAUGGGUGUUGAAUCAGAGAUCAAAGGUUUCAGUUUUCUUCUUCUUUAUAGUUCCCUAACCUGCAAUAGGUGUUCAAUCGGAGGUCGAGGGUUUCAGUUUUCUUCUUCAUUACAAUGCCCUAUACUUUAAUUUUUUGCUAUGAAACCUCUAACAUUUGUCAACCAUUAUGCUAGGGAAAUUAGAAUUAACUAUUAAGAUGCAGCAGGCGUGUUUUAUUUUAAUGAAAUCUACUAAAAUUAAUUUAUUUUUUGUUGUAGAGCAGGAUUAUAUUGCUUAUGGGAAAGGUGUGUGAGCCAUGUCCAAUGAUUAAAAAAAGCAGGUAUGUAGGAUGAGUAGCAAUUUGGUCUGUUUUAAUUUGCAAUAUUUCAUAGUAGAUAUGAAAGGUUAUUCUCAAAUUUUUAAUAUCUCUUCCUUUUUAUAGAUGUAGAUUUGUGCUAGAUUUUUUUAUGCCUCCUUCUUGCCCUUCAAAUAUCAAAUUGUCAAUGUCAUGUUUUGGACAAAAUUCAUCUAGCAACACAUUAAAUAUCAAAAGCAGCUCGAAAUUCAAAGUAAAAGGAUCUCCGAAACAAAGGACAAACAAUAGUUUAAGCUCUAACUCUUAUUCUCACAAGUCGUAAAUGAAGAGAAAACCAAAGAAGAAAAAGAAGCAGGUUAUUACCUAUGCCUAGUCUUGGGUUUUACUAACCUCAGUCAUUUAUAGCACAUUAUCCUCUUGUUACUGAUUUUAUUAACCAAUACCAAUCAAUAAUAUUUAGAUUAACCCUAUUGGCUAAUGUCUAUUUAUUUAGCUUUCCAAAGGGUUCUUCAGUCAAGAACUUGGUUGAAAACAUUAUGGCCUCUAUCAAGUUUCAAUAUUUUGUUUCAUCAAAUCAAUUUGAUGAGUCUUCAAUGUUGUAUAUCAUCAAAUGUUAUACUACACUGUAAGAAUUUCAGAAGAUGAGAAUUUAAAAUUAUAAAAACACAAGAAAAUUCUUAUGACAACAACUAUUACUGGAGGUUAGAUUCAUUAUUUCAACUUUUAAGUUUUCAUUCCAAUUGUAGUAUUUCCUUAGCAAUCUACCAUAAUCUUUUACUAUAAUAACAUCAAAACUUUCUCAUGUUAUCAUCAGCAGGAAAGAAUGUUUGUUCUNCUUAUGGUNUCAUNCAUGAAGUUCCUUGGUUUAUUAUGAUGAGUAAGGAGAAGAUGAAGUACUUGCUGGACUGUCAAAGCAUUGGGAUUUGAGAAUACAAAACUCAUAUACCUUCUUAGUACCCUAUGAAAUACAAGGUAAGAUGAUAUAGGGACUUUUGUCGAAAGAAAUGGCAUGGGAGUUAGUGGAUGUGAAAUAUAACCCUCCC
Molecule: long non-coding RNA, 1380 nt
Filed under: Vigna radiata
Lineage: Eukaryota; Viridiplantae; Streptophyta; Magnoliopsida; Fabales; Fabaceae
Description: long non-coding RNA (VRAD_LNC013499)
Source: RNAcentral